Setaria italica (foxtail millet) is the source of this 1499-nucleotide long non-coding RNA. RefSeq lists it as uncharacterized. The transcript is spliced from 3 exons. Lineage: Eukaryota; Viridiplantae; Streptophyta; Magnoliopsida; Poales; Poaceae. The record is from RefSeq and is a predicted model, not a curated record.
CCGGUCCUUCUCGAUCCGGGAAAUCCCCCCUCUGCUCAGGUCGAGUCUUCUCCCCAAAGCUGAGCUCCCACCCCUCUUUCUCCACCGAGCCAGCCAGUCGCUCGAUCCCCUCGCCGUGGCAUGCAGGACUCCCUCCGGUCUCUCCUGGAAUUCGCCUCGCCGGGGUCGGAGCCUUAGCUCCCCUCAGGCCUGGCGCCUGUUGGAUUUCACCGCAGCCGGCUGUCUCCAGGGUAAAAGCAUGGAGUAUACAGCUUCAGAACUGAUGUAUCCAAACAUAAAUUCAAAAGUGCACACAGAAACAUUGAUGGCAAUGAUAGAUGAUAAUGUGCCAAAGCUGAAAAGGUUGCCCUUAUAUGUACAAGUACAGAAUUGGCAGUCUUAUUGGUACUACGUCAGCACCAUUAUUGGUAUACUCGUUUCACAUCUUGAUACUAGAAGACUCAGAAUAAUUGAUAUGAAAAAGGAGAACAAAGUUGCUGUCAUGACUACUACAAAGAUGGGUGUCAAACAAGACUUUUGUUUUGUAACUAGCUUUCCUUGGGUGUUGGUUUCCUAAUUCCUAGUCACCAUUACUCCAGAAGUAGAAGCAGUACGAAGAAUCUGUAUCUGAACAACACCUUUUGGCAUUGUGGCCUCGGCAGUCUGGUGAUUCAUGCUGAAUUGGUCUCCGCUAUCAGCAGCCUCAGCAGUAUUUUGGUUCAAUUGUUGGUUUUCUGAUGAAUUUGCACCAUGGCCAGCAAGUCAGCAACUGUUUUACAUUUCCUAUCAUAUUCUUCGACGAGCUCUGUCAUGUACAGUGAUGCAAGACGGAAGAGUCUCGUUCCUUUGACUUUUGAGGGCUGAGGGAGGACAGAUCUUAGCUUCUCGGUUCCAUCUUCCGCUUGGUGUCCAAAUGGUAUGGGUUCAAGGACUGAAGCUGCAGGGACAUUUUGAUCUUUCAAGCUGCUCUCAAGUUCAUCACCCACAGUCCCAUUGCUCCUCUGUGACUCUUGGAGUCUCUCAAGAUGAGUAGCAACCGAGUCAAUCAUUGCCUCAAGCUGUUUAAUCCUCGCUGCUGCUUGUAGCAUGAGACCAUUCUCACUGAUUUUACCAAUCCCAGGGAACAGAGGAAAGCGGGCGAAGGGGACCUGCGAUCCCUCUUUUGUUUCUUGGAGAAGGAUAGAUCAGGAGAGGGGAGCCCGGGGUUCGUUCGUUCUUGGACAGGAGCCGAACAAGCGGAAGCUUAAAUGGUCGGAGGAAGACGACGGAGGGAGCAGCGGGAAGGCGAGGCGGGCGAAUUGGACGGCUGAAGAGCGCCAGGAGCUAGCCAGCACGAAUCGUGAAGCAUACCACGUAACCGCUACUAACAUGGCAUCCCGGGCUGAAUGCUGCUUUGAAUGAAUUUUCGGGGCACUGAGCCCACGUCAUAACCACGGGCCCAGGCCCAUGACAUCCGUGAUUUGCAGGAUCUUAAAUACUUCCAGGAUAUUACCAGAAAAAAAUACUUCCAGGAUGGUCAA